Non-coding RNA from Momordica charantia (bitter melon), 403 nucleotides. The record is from RefSeq and is a predicted model, not a curated record. NCBI's taxonomy places the organism in Eukaryota, Viridiplantae, Streptophyta, Magnoliopsida, Cucurbitales, Cucurbitaceae.
CCAAUACAAAACUGAUCACAAGAGCUUCCCUUCCACGAGCAGAGAAAAAAAAAACCAAUUAUCACAGCCACAGCCACAGCCAAGGAUGUCUAGAUGCAAAGGAAAGAGUUCGUGGCCGGAGCUGGUGGGCAAACUGGGAAAGGACGCAGAGAAAACCAUCGAGAGGGAGAAUGGUUUGGUUGAUGCGGUGAUUGUUGGCGAAGGCUCAAUUGUGACUCUUGACUUCAGGUGCGACAGGGUGUGGGUUUGGGUGAACAACAAAACUGGUAGGGUUACUAGGACUCCUACCAUUGGUUAAUGCUUACUCCUCAGCUUCAAACAAACAAUCAUGUAGCAAAUUUUUACAAAUGCCCUCGUCCUGUUCUCAUACGGCAUGAAUUUAUCAAUAAGUCGUUUGUAUUUC